UGCGGAGGGAUCAUUACACAAAUAUGAAGGCGGGCUGGAACCUCUCGGGGUUACAGCCUUGCUGAAUUAUUCACCCUUGUCUUUUGCGUACUUCUUGUUUCCUUGGUGGGUUCGCCCACCACUAGGACAAACAUAAACCUUUUGUAAUUGCAAUCAGCGUCAGUAACAAAUUAAUAAUUACAACUUUCAACAACGGAUCUCUUGGUUCUGGCAUCGAUGAAGAACGCAGCGAAAUGCGAUAAGUAGUGUGAAUUGCAGAAUUCAGUGAAUCAUCGAAUCUUUGAACGCACAUUGCGCCCUUUGGUAUUCCAAAGGGCAUGCCUGUUCGAGCGUCAUUUGUACCCUCAAGCUUUGCUUGGUGUUGGGCGUCUUGUCUCUAGCUUUGCUGGAGACUCGCCUUAAAGUAAUUGGCAGCCGGCCUACUGGUUUCGGAGCGCAGCACAAGUCGCACUCUCUAUCAGCAAAGGUCUAGCAUCCAUUAAGCCUUUUUUUCAACUUUUGACCUCGGAUCAGGUAGGGAUACCCGCUGAACUUAAGCAUAUCAAUAAGCGGAGGA
This 556-nucleotide ribosomal RNA is filed under the name Alternaria alternata. Its description in RNAcentral is "eukaryotic LSU rRNA". The stretch from base 182 to 335 matches the Rfam family "5.8S ribosomal RNA". Lineage: Eukaryota; Fungi; Ascomycota; Dothideomycetes; Pleosporales; Pleosporaceae. The record is from RNAcentral.